UCUAGGGAGAAAGUGGGGAGGGAAAGGGACGGAGGUCAACAGGAGUUUUGGAGAACAAGUGUUGUAGGCUGUAGGGGGUAAAGCCAAUUUGUGAAGAACUGGUGAUAGGAACUAAACAACCCACCUAGAAGGGGAGGGGCUUUGAGCAGGGGUGGGGAGGUGGGAUUUGAGGCAAAACAGCUAGGAGUUCUGAAACUAUUAAUAUCUAACUGUGUGACUCAGGGCAAGUUGCUUAACUUUUCUCUCUGCCUUAGUUUCUUGACCUGUAAAACAGGGAUACUAAUAAUAGAACUUAUCUCAGGGGGUUAUUUGGAAUUAGAGGAAAUACAUGCCAUGUGUUUUCCACAGUGCUUGGCACAUAGAACCUGCCAGUAAAUGUUAGCUCUUUUUAUGGCAGAGUGGUUAACAGGAUGGAUUCUGGAGCUAGACGGCCUCGUUUUGAAUCUCGGUCAUGCCUUAUGUGAGUUGUAUGACCUAGGCAAGUUACUUAACCCCUUGUGCUUUAGUUUCCUUGUCUGUAAAACAUGGUUAAUAGUACCUAGCUCAAAGGCUGCUGUCAGGAUUAAAUGAGUUAUAUGUACGAAGAGCCUGGAACAAUGCCCAUCCCAUAGGAAACACUAUGUAAGCAUUAGUUGUCACUGAUAUUGUUGCUCUUCUGAUCUAGGAAGGUUGAAAAUAGAGGCACAGGUGAGCUACUACUUACAGGCUAAGAUUGGAAUCAGAUCAACUCUUUCACUCCUAUCCCUGAAGCUAGUCCUGCAACUGGGGCUGCAUAUGAGGGCUUGGGGAGAGAUCCUAUAACCCUGGAAUCUGGGAUAUCCAAGUCCUUCCUCUGCUCUAGCUCUUGGUUUGGUGGUCCCUCCAAGACCCAUAGACUCGAAGUCACUUCUUUUUCCCUGGGCAGGGUUGGGGUGGGGCUGGUAAUGGGAGAAUUACUUUCUUGGUCUAAUAACUCCCUUUAGUAGAGAGUUAGUCCUGGGAGUGUGAGUUGGGGGAGGUUGGGUAGAGCAGAGGAGAUUAAAUAUCCUUCAUGUACCAGCCCACACACACUUGACCUCACCAGAGGGUUGGGAAGACAGAGAUUCAAAGAGGGGAAGUGAUCUGACAAAGUCCUAAAGCUAGAACUUGGCAGAGUUGGCAUCUGAACUCUGAUCUGCUUGAUGGCAAACUUAAAGCCCUUCCAUUGCUGCAUGCUUUUUGAAGGGAGAAAUGGGACACGUGUAAACUUGGGCCAGGACCAUGGGGUAGAUGGAAGAUUGGCGAAGAUAGAGUAUUGGAGUGGGAAGUGGCCAAGCAGGAAUAUUUCAAUCAUGGAAGAUUUCCUGAGGAAAGAGAUUCCAUAUCAGGGUUCAGAUGGUAGGGGAAUAGGAUAGGAAGUAAAGAAGAGGGAGGGAGCCAUGCAUUGACAAGGAAGGAGAAGAAAAAAGAAUUUAUGCAAAGGCUGGGUCAGAGUAAUGGACAUGAAUUCAAUUUGCCUUGGGUUUGCCUUACCAUUUAUUGAAGGCAUACUAUGUACUGGGUACAUACAUGAUCACAUUUGAUGUUCACAACAGCCCUGACAAGUGAGUUUCUUAUCCCUAUUUCCAAAAGAGUUCAUUGAAGUUCUGAGAGCUUAAUCCCCGCUUUAGGUUACACAGUAGUAGUUGGAUUUCCUGGCAUCAGAACCCUCGCCUACACUGCCUCUGAGCAUGGCUUCUGUGUCCCAGUCUCAAUUUCCAUGACUGUUUCAAGUCCUCCUGUUCCCCCGCAUUUGUUGUCACUCUUGGUGACUGGGAACAAAGGGCUAGAGCGUGAGCUGAAACUGAGACAGGGAGUGGCAAGCAGGCAGUGGGGACAGAAACUUUUCUCGCAUCCACCCAUGUGAAGAAGAUGGACAGAAGGGUGGUCUUUCUGGAGAGAGGCUUCCAAGCCACUUUCCCAAGAAAGACAGCUGAUCUUGGGAUGAAUGGCAGGGACCUGAUUGGGUAGGGGAUGGGUGGUCACAUUGUUUUUUGGGCUGUAGACUUUAUUUCCCUUCCUUUGGGAAGAGAAGAGGAAGAGGACAGCUCAGGUGUGGGUUUGAGCCCUGGAUUAAGACUGCCCAUUGUCCACUAAAAUCUCUUCUUUCCUUGCUGCAUGAGGGUGGAGGGACACCCAGCUGAACACUCCAUUUCCCAGCUGCUCUUAUUGCCAGGUGUAGACACAGGGGAAUGUGAGGUGAGCAUGUCCUCAAAGCCUGACGGAUUGGGUAAAUUCUCCUUUGUGUUCUCUCUUUCAUGAGCUGGGCAGAUGUGCCUGAGACAGGUUUGACCAGGCAACUGAAAAGACAUCCCUAAGAGAAGACAAAGCAAAGGUAUGAAAGGAACACACAUCCCUGACUGACUAGGAGGAACAGAGCUGCCUGCUGUCCGGAACCGCUUCCUCCCAGACUAAGGUUUCCCAGAGGAAGAGAGAGAAUUUGGACAAAUGAAUGAGGAACAACGCUCUCCUGAGAGUUUCUUUAAGGGGCGAGGAUCACUGCCGCUAGCUCCUUUGAAAGCAGAAUUAAGAGGCAGUGCAGGAAGGCACAGCAGGAAGGCUCAUAGUUAGACUACAGAGAAGGAAGCAGCCACUGCUGGGGACCUACCCUGUGCUGGUCACUGACAAGCAGUCUCACUAAACCUUCCUGGACCCUCAACCCCUCCUAGUAUCUUAUCCUCAUUUUACAGAUGAGAAGACUGUGGCCCAGAGAGGUAAAGAUCUGGGGAGCAGGAUGGGAGCUUCACUUUGUCUCAGUUGCUCUGGCAAAGAAAAGCCUCACCUUGUGAUCAAGGGAUUGGGAGGGUGACAGAUAAAUUUUGGCUUAAGUGUCACCAUAGCACUGGGAAUCGAGCUAGAUGGCACUGGCUUGACUCCUUGGAUCUGCCUCUUACUGGCUGUGUGAUACUGGGCAUGCCUCUGUUUCCCCAUCUAUAAAAAUGGGGCUAAUGAUAAUAACACCUGCCUUACAGGUUGUGUAGAAGGUUGAAUUUGUAGUUGUGAGGUGCCCAGGAACAGUGCUGGCACACAGUGAGCGCCAUACACAAGUGUUACAGAAUGGAGCCUCCUGCCCUCUCCUUAUUUCCCACUCCCUGCCCUCUUCUCAUUGCCCACCUCCCCUGCCUUCUCCUCACCAUCCUGAAAAAGGGUGAACAGCCACCCAGGAGCCCCUGAACAGGCAUGUUGGUCCCAGGCCAUUUGUGAGCAUGCUUUUCCCUGCCCUGCCCCCUGUCAUCACCAUUCUGGAUGGAGCAGCAAGGACGGAGACACUUAGUUGGGCUAUCCACUCCAGGUCCAAUGCCAGUGGGAUCAGCUUCGAUGGGAUGCACACAGACUGACCUCUUCUCCCCAGCCCCUUCAACUUCCUAGAGCUGCAGGGGGCCUGGGAGUUCUUGGUAACAGCACAUUAAACCUCUGUUUGUGGGAACUUUAAUUUAAACACAAAUUAGAGAUGGCAAAUGACUCUGGCAGCCAGAUAAGCCAUCCCGGGAGAGCAAGGAGAAAGCCAAGAGAAUCAGCCCAGAUAAGGCCUGACUUUAAACUACUGGUGAUACCCAGAAGCCUGGGACAGAUGAAAUCUAGGGGUCCUCAAUGAAGAGCCACAGAAGCUCCACACCCCAGUUGUCCUUGCUCUGGGCUCUAUGCCAGCUCCCUCUCCUGUGUUCUCUAUAUUUCUAUCUGUUUGCAAAAUUCUAACCUGAUUCUUUGGCUCCAUCCCUCCCACCCCCACCCCACUGUUUUAGAGAAUGCACUUUCUUUACUUUGCUUCUCAUCUUCUUCUGUGACCUACUAUUCUGAGAAAUUUCUCCUUGUUAUCUAACCUCCAUCUAUGCUACUACCUUUAGAGUCUAAUACAUCCUGCUUAGUGGUAGCUCUGGGAGUUUCUGUUCAUGUGGCAAAUGCGGUGUGGUAAAAACAACCUGAAAAAGACCUGGGUGAACUUCUCUGCAUCUCAGUUUCCUCAUCUGUAUGAUGAGUGUGUGAGAAAGAAUCUCUAAGGACUUGUAAACUCUGACUUCUCACAGAGAAUCUGAGGACAAGGACAUCCCAGGAAAUCUCUAUUGUUCUGGAACCCAUGAAUUUUCCACUGUUCUACUGUUUGGGAGUGAGCGUGGGGAGAGCAGUCAAGCCUGUUGAUUCCUUUCUGUGAGGGGUCUACAGGCUUUGCUUCCACCCCUCCGCCCACAACCCAGGCUUAGGCCAGGCCCAGGCCCAGGAGAGAGGCUGCCUUUCCAGUUCUGUCAAGGCCUGCUGAGCCCAGCUCUGUGGGGCUGUGGCCGCUAAGAUGUUGUCUCUGUCCUCUGGGGUAGGAGCAACAUAUGUUCCCUCUGUCACAGCACCUGUGAGGGUGGCAGAGGGAUGGCAACCCCCAAGAGGGCAGAGUUCCAUCUCUCCAACUGACCUUGAAGCAUCUUUUUAUCCUGCUUUUCUGGGAGGCUUAAAGUGAAGGCGGAGGGAGAUAUCGCACAGUCCCAAAGCCCCCACUAAAUGGGGAGCUACUGUCUUUCAUCUUUCAUGCAGGGUAAAAGAAGACACCUCGGCUACAGCAAGAGGAAAGAAGGUCAAACCACAGGCAGAACUUUCAGGUUGAAUGUUAGAGCAGACUGUGAUCCCAAGAGGUCAUCCAAGACCCUUGGUCUCAGAGGAUGACUAUGAGGCCCUGGUCCCUGGCUGGGGUGGGAACAAUAAUCCCAACAGCCCCAUGCUAGACUGACUUGGGAGUCAGAAGGUCCCUGGGACUAGAAUAGAAGGACUUUGGCAUUUUCCCUGGCCUAGGGCCCUUAGACAGAAGUGGGCAACUGCCAUCAGGAGCCUGGGGCCCAGCUGUGUCCCCACCUUGUCCGCCUCCCCCCUCCUGAGUGCCUGGCUGCCCCUGGAGCCACAGGCUUGCCUGCCAUCUGGGCAGCUCAGAGGAAAGCACACUGCCAAGGGAGUGCCAGCGUUGAUUUAUGGCCCACAACCUUGGCAGGCUCAGGCUGUGUGCCCGAACUGCCUUUGCUCAGGGAAGAGAUGCUCCUCUUAAAGGGACAGUGCAGAGGAAUGCAGGAAUGUCCAGGACGAAAGCUUGGCAGGGGGCUGGCAAAAAAGACCUCCACCCAUCAGCACUCUGGGUGACUGUCACUCCCUAGGGAAACUUCUCCCUAAGGAACCACCCAUCAUACCUGUUAUCAUGCCCUAUCCUUUGUAGACUUGGCCCAACUGUAACAUAUUAAUAUGUUCACUAUCAGUCUUUCCCACUGGACUGUAAUCUCUAGGAGGGUAGGAACCAGACCCAUUGUGCUCAUUCCUGAAUAUUCAGCACCAAACACAGUGCCUGGCGCCUAAUAAGAUCUCAGUAAGAAUUUGUCAAGUGUAGGACAGAAUGAAUAAAUGAAGGUCCUUGUCCAUGAGGUGGAGGGAAGCCCGCGUGUCUUCUUAGUGCCUGCCGUGGUUUCCGAGACCCUGCGGCAUCUGCUGCUACCCCCAGGAUCUCUCCCUCCAGGACCCUUCCUCACCCCUGUCAUAUCAACCCAGGACCAAUGGGGCCAAUCUUAUCUGGAUACCCUUGCCUCCCCACUUUCCUCGAGUCACCUUUCUUAAGUCCUUCACACAAUGUUCUUUUCCUCCCAUUUUCCUUCCUCCAAGAUACUUUCUCAGAUUACCUGUGGCCUCAGUCCUGGAUUCAGAUACUCUUUCAGAUAAUCUUUUAUUUUUUAUUUUUAUUUUUAUUUUUUUUUUCUCGAGACAGUGGCUCCCUCUGUCACCCAGGUGGGAGUGCAGUGGCAGUCUUGGAUCACUGCCACCUGUGUCUCCCAGGUUCAAGUGAUUCUCCUGCCUCAGCCUCCAGAGUAGCUGGGAUUACAGGCUUGUGCCACCAUGCCCAGCUAAUUUUUGUAUUUUUAGUAGAGAUGAGGUUUCACCACGUUGGCCAGGCUGGUCUCGAACUCCUGACCUCAAAUGAUCUGCCCGCCUCAGCCUCCCAAAGUGCUGUGAUUACAUGCAUGAGCCACUGUGACUGGCCUAUCCAGCAAUAUUUACUGAGUAUCUACAAUGCACUAGGCACCGGUUGCCAAGAAUUCAUGAAUAAAUGGAACAGGCAUAUUCCCUGAACUCAAGGACCGUACAUUUCAGAGAGUGAAACAGACAAAAAAAUAAGUAAGCAAGUUAGCAAAUAGAUACAUGCAAUUUUGAGACCUGUUGUGAAGUGGGUAAUCACAGUCAGGGUGGAGCAGGCACCCUUUAAAUUGGGUGGUCAGGUAGGCAUGGUGGCUCACGCCUGUAAUCCCAGCACUUUGGAAGGCUGGGGUGGGCGGAUCACCUGAAGUCAGGAGUUCGAGACCAGCCUCACCAACAUGGAGAAACCCUGUCUCUACUAAAAAUACAAAAAUUAGUCAGACGUGGUGGCGCAUGCCUAUAAUCCCAGCUACUUGGGAGGCUGAGGCAGGAGAAUCGCUUGAACCCGGGAGGUGGAGAUUGCCAUGAGCCGAGAUCGUGCCAUUGCACUCCAGCCUGGGCAAUAAGAGCAAAACUCCAUCUCAAAAAAAUAAAAUAAAAUAAAAUAAAAUAAAUUGGGUGGUCAGAGAAAGUUUCUCUGAGGAAGUGACACUUGGGCUGAGGUUUGAAGAAUGAGAGGGAGCCAUGUAAAGAGUGAGGUAACAGCAUUCUAGAAACAGUUCAGUCACAUGGGUGUGCACAGCAGCAUUUGGGGGAUGGGAGUGGGAGAGGAGCUUUCCCAAACUUCACACUCCUAUCUCUUUUACAUUUUGAAAGCCCCUGCCCUUCCAAUGUGGGAGGACCAUUGCUUAAAAUCUUUGGAGAAGCAGCCCUGGCCUUACCUGGAAGCUGGUUAGAAAACAGAGCUCAGGUGCCACACCAGAUCUACUGAGUCCGAAUCUGUAUUUUAACCAGGUCCCAGGUCAUUUGUGUGCACAGUGGUGUUUGAGAAGCAGUGUUUCAGGAAAUACCUCACAGGAGGGAUGGAGUGUGAGGACAUCAGAUAAUGUGAGGUGGGUGGGGUUAGGGGGUUGGUUGCUGAAGAGUGGAUUUGAAUCAGAGAUGGGGGUCUGAGUGUGUAUAUGUGCCUCUGUGUGUGUGUUCCUCCAGCCUAAUGACUGUGGGCUAUCUGAGGAUGUGCAACUCCAAGCGCUUUUCCUUCCAUGGGUGUGGAGUACCAGGGGAUACUGUACAUCUUUAUCCCCCUGUGACAAUGCCCCCACUUCCACCUACAGCUGUGAGUCAAACAGAAUCUGCCAACCUCUGGGUGGUGGGAGCAUCUCGGAAGCAAGGCAAGGCAAGGAGAUCCCUUGUUCCUGACCUCCGGCAAUCCAUUUAUUUGACUCCAGUCUCAUAAAGGCAUCCUGAUGAGCCCAAUCGCUUGCUAAUGGUUAUGAGCCGAGACCUGGGGAUUUAUGGCUGAGGCCUCCGUGGCCACGAACAGGAGUAGGGCUGCACACAGGAGGCCAGGCUGUGCAUGGCUUCAGUUCAUGGAGGCCUGUACCCAGAACCACGGCGGGGACUACCACACCCCCACCUCCAAAUCUGGGGCAAAGAACAUUGCCCUGGGUGGGGGAAGCUGGGCUAAGGAGAAAAAAGACCUCUGGCUGGAGAUGUCCAGGGAUGAAGGGUGAGUGUCUGGGAAACUGGCCUGACUUGGCGGGGUGGGGUAUAGGGGGAGAUACUGGAGAAGUGAGUGGAAAGGGCACUGGAAUUGGAGCCAGUCAAACUGGGGUUCAAAUCCUGGAUCUGUUUUCCACCCGUGUAUGACACUGGAAAAAUCAUGGCUCUCCCUGAGCCUCAUUUUUCUCAUCUGUAGAUGGGAAUUGUGACCCUAUCUCAUAGGUUUGUGAGAAUUAAAUGAGGCCAGGUACGGUGGCUCAUGCCUGUAAUCUCAGCACUCUGGGAGGCCAAGGUAGGAGGAUUUCUGGAGCCCAGGAGUUCAAGACCAGCCUGGGCGACAUGCUGAAACCCUGUCUCUACAAAAAUACAGAAAUUAGCCAGGUGUGGUGGCAUGUGCCUGAGGCUGAUGUGGGAGCAUUGCUUGAGCCCAGGAGCUUGAGACUGCAGUGGGCCAUGAUCAUGUCACUGCACUCCAGCCUGGGUGACAGAGUGAGAUCCUAUUGAGAGAGAGAGAAUUAAAUGAGAUAAUGUUUGUGAAAAGCACUUCGAAUACCAAUUGUAUAUAUUUAAGUGGGUCAAGAGAUUGGGAUUCUAAUUCCAGCUCCACCACUAACUUGCUGGGAUUCUAGCACUAGCACUGGUUUUGUUACCAAUGGCUUUUUUUUUUCCUGAGACAGGGUCGCACUCUGUUGCCCAGACUGGAGUGCAGUGGUAAGAUCUCAGCUCACUGCAACCUCUGCCUCCCAGGCUCAAGCAAUUCCCAUGCCUCAGCCUCCUGAGUAGCUGGGAUUACAGGUGUGCUCCACUACUGCCCACUAAUUUUUGUAUUUUUAGUAGAGACAGGGUUUUGCCAUGUUGGCCAGGCUGGUCUCGAACUCCUGACCUCAAAUGGUCCACCCGCCUUGGCCUCUCAAAGUGCUAGGAUUUCAAGCAUGAGCCACCCCGCCUGCCCAGUUACCAAUGGCUUUGUGACCUGGGGCACAUCACAGACCCUUUCUAAGUCUUAGUUGCCUCAUAGAUACUAAGAGGGGACACAGUGCUCUUUUGGUUGCCUCCAGCUCUGAUAUUUUGUGGUUCUAAGGAGGAGUCCUUGUUUGGAAAUGGAACUUUGGAAUGGUUUGGAUCUCAUUAUGGCCAUAGAGAGGGCAUCAUUGCAACUGUGGCUUCAGGGCCAAUGUGCAGUUAGGGGGGCUGAGUCAGAACAGCCCCCUCUUCCUUGAUAGUGCCAUCCUGUGAGUAUAACCCCUGUAGGGGUGUUGGACACAGUGUUGGGGAAGACUGUGGAAUAUGUGUAAGUAGGAAAGGCCCUGUGGUAGGGGGUGAGCUGGGUAUCCAUGGAAAUGCCUGAACUACUCAUGCCUUUUGCACAAGUAGGUCUUCAAAUAAUCUCUUGUGCUUCUCUCUUUCCCACUCUCUUUCCCUGUCUAAGGUGUGUGGUGGUUGUGGUGGUGGUGUGUGUGUGUGUGUGCGUGUGUGUGUAUCUAACCUGAUUGGGAGAGUAAGCCAAAUGGAGUGAAGUGGAGAAACAUCCCCAAAAGUCCCAAGUGGAGACCUAAGGAUUCCUAAAUCACAGUGCAGAACAGGGUCCUCUACCCUUUUCCCAUUCUGGGAACAUCCUGAAGCCAGUCAUUGUGGGAGAGAGACAUGACCCCCAACCCAGCCUCACAGACCCCACCCCUCUUCCAUGCUUUGCCCUACCCUCCUUCCGUGUGCUUGUAUCCUAACCUUAAGCCCUAGAGACUUCUAGGUACCCAGAGAGCAGCCUAUCCAGUGAUGUUUACUGAGCGCAUGUUAUGUGCCUUGCACUGGGCCUGGAGCAAGGGCUAAGGAGUGAAAUUAGACCUGAUCCCUCUCCUGAAGAUGUCACAGCUGAGUAGGCAGAAAGACUUUAAACAGAUAAUGGCAACAGGAUGUGCUAAGGAACAUCAAUGUACAAGAUAACAGGUAGUCUGUAUUUAUGGGAGAGGGAGGCGUAAAAGAAGAUGCUUCAGCUGCUUUCUAAACAUGUUUGUCGUGGAACAUUAAAAACAUAUGAAAACAGA
Pan troglodytes (chimpanzee) is the source of this 9635-nucleotide long non-coding RNA. RefSeq lists it as uncharacterized. The transcript has 2 exons. The record is from RefSeq and is a predicted model, not a curated record. NCBI's taxonomy places the organism in Eukaryota, Metazoa, Chordata, Mammalia, Primates, Hominidae.